AUUGAACGCUGGCGGCAUGUCUAACACAUGCAAGUCGAACGGCAGCACAGUAAAGAUUUCGGUCUUUAUGGGUGGCGAGUGGCGGACGGGUGAGUAAUGCGUAGGAAUCUGUCCUGGAGAGUAGGAUAACCCGAGGAAACUCGGGCUAAUACUGCAUGAUAUCGAGAGAUCAAAGGCAGGGGACCCUUCGGGGCCUUGCGCUCUAGGAUGAGCCUACGUCGGAUUAGCUAGUUGGUGGGGUAAAGGCCUACCAAGGCGACGAUCCGUAGCUGGUCUGGGAGGAGGACCAGCCACACUGGGACUGAGACACGGCCCAGACUCCUACGGGAGGCAGCAGUGGGGAAUCUUGGACAAUGGGGGAAACCCUGAUCCAGCGAUGCCGCGUGUGUGAAGAAGGCCUUCGGGUUGUAAAGCACUUUAGUUGGGGAAGAAAAGUAAUGAGUGAAUAACUGAUUGCUCUGACGGUACCCAAAGAAUAAGCACCGGCUAACUCUGUGCCAGCAGCCGCCGUAA
This 513-nucleotide ribosomal RNA is filed under the name uncultured bacterium. Its description in RNAcentral is "partial 16S ribosomal RNA". It matches the Rfam family "Bacterial small subunit ribosomal RNA", at positions 30 to 523 of the family's 1533-position model. The record is from RNAcentral.